Molecule: long non-coding RNA, 1460 nt
Organism: Talpa occidentalis (Iberian mole)
Lineage: Eukaryota; Metazoa; Chordata; Mammalia; Eulipotyphla; Talpidae
Exons: 3
Source: RefSeq, a predicted model, not a curated record
AAUUUUUCCUGUAUUCUAACAUGGUGCUAAAUGCUUUUCGUGGUUUACCGUAUUUGUCUGACCAAGGCCCUUGUGACUGUGACUCUCCCUGAUUUCAAAUAAGGAAGCAGACCUUCCGAUAGACAAGUGGCUUGCCCAGGGCCACGCAGCUAGAAGCUACCAAGAUCUGUCUGGUUCCACAUGGCCUCCAAGAGUGGCUUGGCUCUGAACCAAACUCACACUACUUCAAGAGUGGGUGUGAGCCCGUGAAUAUGAUUGUUGGUGAGCCAAUUUCUGACCUUACAGCCUGAAACCCUCCCCAUCACCACUCCCCAGUCUGCCGCCAAAACCAAAUAAUACAACCUGCUUAGGCUACGGAACGGCCAGCACUGUGAGCUGCCACCAGCAGCCCCUAGCCCUCUUCCUCCUGUGUAGCUAACGGCUGAUUUGCUCCCCCACUUUACAGAACUGCGACUGUUAGGGGAAGCCCAGCCUCUUCCAGGUCCUCACAGGAAGUGGGGGUGAGAAAUGUUGAUUCGUUUAAGAUGAUUCAGUACCUGCCCUCUGCCAAAUUUCGAUAAGGGCAAGUAAUGCAAUUCUGUCUAGUGAAAUAUGAGCAGCUAUUGUUUUGAGCUUUAUUUAUGUGAGUGGGGCUGUGGGGUCAGUCAGAACACCCCCACUCCUUUUCCAGCUUCACUGUUUCCUAAACCUGACUUCAGGCGAAUGGACGGUCCUUCCAGGUUUCAGUUUCCUCCACUGAAAAGGAAGAAAAUAAUGACACACAUUCACAGGGCCAUGAUGAUGACCAAAUGAAUCAUGUCAAGUGCUGAGAACUGUACCAGCGACAAAGGCUGCCUCCAGACCCACCUGGUUCCCACCUGUGAUGGAAGCUAUCCGAGAGAACGAGAGGAUGCCCAAGACAGAAGCCGGAGCCUUUUUAUAAUCUUACCUCAAAAAUGACAUCCCAAUACUUCUGUCACCUCUGCUCACAAGAAGCAAGUCACUAAAGCCAGCCCACACUCAGGGCCACUCCUACACUUGGCCGUGAAUUCCAGGAGACACCCAGAAGACAGCCCUCACCGCCAGGCCGGCCUCCUGGAUCUCAGACUUGCAGCCUCCAAGACGACGAGAAACAGUCCUAUUGUUCAGGACGCCCCAGCCUGCGGGAUUUUGUAAUGCUGUCAGCAGGGACGAAGACGCCUCUCCCCAGCAGUCACGGCGCCCUCUCCUCAAGCUGGUAGGCUUUAAACAUGCGCUGUAGUCCUUGACUGUCAUUUUGGAUGAGUUUCAGGUGGCAAUAGAGAUAAACAUGUGUUUUAAUAGCGUGUUUAACCAAAUGUCUCUCCCCCAGUUUUAAAUAUUUUUAUAAAUAGCUUCGUUGCUUCUGCCGUUUGUUAGAAUAUUAUAUGCUUCACUUCAAAAUAGUCUCAUGCUAAGGACAACUGAAAAUCACACCUCUUACCUACAAGCAGGGCUCCACA